Molecule: long non-coding RNA, 517 nt
Organism: Dioscorea cayenensis subsp. rotundata (Guinea yam)
Lineage: Eukaryota; Viridiplantae; Streptophyta; Magnoliopsida; Dioscoreales; Dioscoreaceae
Exons: 2
Source: RefSeq, a predicted model, not a curated record
UCAUUCGAUUGCGUUGCGUGUUUUUUCAUGGAUCUGAUGAGCCUUUCCCCAGAUUAUCGACUAUGAUUAUACUGUGCGCUAUAUUUGUUUUUCUCUUUCUUUGGAAGAGAAAUCAAGCCAGAAGCUCUGAUCCUUAUACCAUAUCCAUCCUUUUUUUUCUGUAAUUAUUGUUUUUUUAAAUAAAUUUAGAGGCUUUGAUGGUUUGGAUAGUUCCGAUGAGGAUAAAAUCUAAGGCUGGUUUCUCAUGAACAUUCGCAGUAGCCGCCUGAGCGCUUUCGCCCUGCCAGGCUUGAGAGCCAUUGAUGCUUAAUUCUUCCUUGGAUGUCUGAGUGGCCGCCUGAGCGCUUUCGCCUUGCCAGGCUUGAGAGCCAUUGAUGCUCAACUCUUCCUUGGAUGUCUGAGGCCCCAUUUUCAGUUGAUCCUCAUUUUUGUUAUUUGCUUUUAAUUUUAAUUAAUAUCCCAUUGAUUUGCUUGUUAAAUGAUAGAUUGAAAAUUAUUGUUUUAUGAUUUCUGGACU